GCGUAAAGGGCUCGCAGGCGGUUUCUUAAGUCUGAUGUGAAAGCCCCCGGCUCAACCGGGGAGGGUCAUUGGAAACUGGGAAACUUGAGUGCAGAAGAGGAGAGUGGAAUUCCACGUGUAGCGGUGAAAUGCGUAGAGAUGUGGAGGAACACCAGUGGCGAAGGCGACUCUCUGGUCUGUAACUGACGCUGAGGAGCGAAAGCGUGGGGAGCGAACAGGAUUAGAUACCCUGGUAGUCCACGCCGUAAACGAUGAGUGCUAAGUGUUAGGGGGUUUCCGCCCCUUAGUGCUGCAGCUAACGCAUUAAGCACUCCGCCUGGGGAGUACGGUCGCAAGACUGAAACUCAAAGGAAUUGACGGGGGCCCGCACAAGCGGUGGAGCAUGUGGUUUAAUUCGAAGCAACGCGAAGAACCUUACCAGGUCUUGACAUCCUCUGACAACCCUAGAGAUAGGGCUUUCCCUUCGGGGACAGAGUGACAGGUGGUGCAUGGUUGUCGUCAGCUCGUGUCGUGAGAUGUUGGGUUAAGUCCCGCAACGAGCGCAACCCUUGAUCUUAGUUGCCAGCAUUCAGUUGGGCACUCUCAGGUGACUGCCGGUGACAAACCGGAGGAAGGUGGGGAUG
This 623-nucleotide ribosomal RNA is filed under the name Bacillus pumilus. Its description in RNAcentral is "bacterial SSU rRNA". It matches the Rfam family "Bacterial small subunit ribosomal RNA", at positions 558 to 1181 of the family's 1533-position model. Lineage: Bacteria; Bacillati; Bacillota; Bacilli; Caryophanales; Bacillaceae. The record is from RNAcentral.